This 633-nucleotide small RNA is filed under the name Arabidopsis thaliana (thale cress). Its description in RNAcentral is "ATSL094350". Lineage: Eukaryota; Viridiplantae; Streptophyta; Magnoliopsida; Brassicales; Brassicaceae. The record is from RNAcentral.
UUAAUCUUGACAAGCAGAUUUUCUAUUAGACCAUGUGGAUGUGCAACAUAACCAUCAGGUAAAAGUAAAGCUAAGUUGCAGAACUUGUAUUCCAUGAUCCCUAGCCUUUUAGCUGUAGAGAGAGGCAUAAGGUUAACAGAUGCACCCAAUCACAAAGGCACGUAUUGAAUGUCAAUGGUCCUAGAGAGCAUGGCAGAGUGAAUGAACCGGGAUCAUCAAGCUUUUCUUGGAUGACUUUCUUCUUGUAUGUUUCUUGGGUGGAGGCACUGCUAAUCAUCUCUUGAUUCUGGUCCUUCUUGAGUUUUUCAAUUUUGAACUUUUUCCAGAAUGGUGAGUAUUCAGCAAAGGUGUGUGCUCUAUAGUCCGGAUGAAUUGUUGGGUGGCAGGUGCAGCAAUUUGAGUUGAAUCCCCCCUUCUUGAAUCAUAAUGUCCUCAGUAUUGAGAGUCUAAUGACUUGAUGGAGACUCAUCUUCAUGGUGGAUAGUGAUAGCAUUAGCAGUAGCAUAGUCCUUAGGAUUCUGGACUGCUUUCCCUGGAAGUUGUUGAGGGUGCUUCGGAGCAGAGGUUGAUGCAAAUUGACUCUCCACAUACUUGAUUUUUGAGUUCAAAGCUUCGAAUUUGACAUUUAAAUCA